This 432-nucleotide long non-coding RNA is filed under the name Rhinopithecus bieti (black snub-nosed monkey). RNAcentral's name for it is "lncRNA (ENSRBIG00000045025.1)". Lineage: Eukaryota; Metazoa; Chordata; Mammalia; Primates; Cercopithecidae. The record is from RNAcentral.
CUGUAAUGAGGUCCAGCCAGCUCAUUCUUCACAAGCUCCCCAGAGGAUGCUGACGGUCCAGGAACACUGCUCCCUGACCACCUUCCCAAAAGACCAAAGCUUCAAGAAACAAUGAAAAGGAACAUCUAUCCAGCUCCCUGGUAGUCAAAGAGGAGGAGGCUCAGAGUGGUUAUGGCACCUGCCAAAGGUCACACAGCUGGUACAUCUGGAGCUCUGCCCCUGGGAGCCAAGCAUGCCAAGCUUUAUUAGAGACCUGAGCUCUUGAAGGAACUGAGACCUCAGUUGGUGAAAUGCCUCCCCCAAAGUGAACACAAUACCCUCGUCUCGAAGCCAUCCUCGAUGUUCACAACUUCCUGAGUGUAAGUCACAAAACAUUAUUUUUCAGCCUGGCAGUGUAUAGAAAUAAGAGCACAAGGCUAGAAGUCGGGAAAC